This 393-nucleotide ribosomal RNA is filed under the name uncultured bacterium. Its description in RNAcentral is "bacterial SSU rRNA". It matches the Rfam family "Bacterial small subunit ribosomal RNA", at positions 362 to 772 of the family's 1533-position model. The record is from RNAcentral.
UACUGCACAAUGGGCGCAAGCCUGAUGCAGCGACGCCGCGUGAGUGAAGAAGUAUCUCGGUCUGUAAAGCUCUAUCAGCAGGGAAGAANNUGACGGUACCUGACUAAGAAGCCCCGGCUAACUACGUGCCAGCAGCCGCGGUAAUACGUAGGGGGCAAGCGUUAUCCGGAUUUACUGGGUGUAAAGGGAGCGUAGACGGCGGGGCAAGUCUGGAGUGAAAGGCCGGGGCCCAACCCCGGGACCGCUCUGGAAACUGCCCGGCUGGAGUGCGGGAGAGGUAAGCGGAAUUCCUAGUGUAGCGGUGAAAUGCGUAGAUAUUAGGAGGAACACCAGCGGCGAAGGCGGCUUACUGGACCGUGACUGACGUUGAGGCUCGAAAGCGUGGGGAGCAAA